UCAUGCCAUUUGGAUCAUAGGUAGUAAGGAGAGACAUCACAGCAUGACGACUUCAGUCUUCUACCCAGCUGCUGGAAAAUACAGAGACAGAGAGAAUGGGCAGCAAACUGACCUGCUCCUGAGAUGUGGAAUGGAAUAGCAGUGAGACCUACUGUCAAACUGGCCUGUAUGGCUUUCAGACAUUCAAGGAAAAAGCUGAUGAAAUUUCCUUCGUUGAGAGAGCAGCAUUUCAAUAUUUCUUAUGAGAAAUUGACUAUAACAUUAUCUUACAUACAAGUCUCCUCCAGCCUAUAGGUAUGCCUUUGUUGCAGAAUUUCUAUAUUCAACAUAUUGUCUGAUGUUCUUUGGGAA
Non-coding RNA from Anas platyrhynchos (mallard), 351 nucleotides. Lineage: Eukaryota; Metazoa; Chordata; Aves; Anseriformes; Anatidae. The record is from RefSeq and is a predicted model, not a curated record.